This 213-nucleotide ribosomal RNA is filed under the name Triticum aestivum (bread wheat). RNAcentral describes it as "partial small subunit ribosomal RNA". The record is from RNAcentral. Lineage: Eukaryota; Viridiplantae; Streptophyta; Magnoliopsida; Poales; Poaceae.
UGCUACCCAAUUGCUAUGGGAGGCAUGGGGUUCCGUGAUAUGAGGGCUUUCAAACAGGCCUUGUUGGCUAAGCAGGCCUGGCGUUUGCUGGACUGUCCGCAGAUCCUUUGUGCUAGAUUGCUCCGGGCUAAAUACUACUCCCAUGGUAACCUUUUGGACACGGUGUUCCCUUCUAGCUCGUCCGCAAUAUGGAGGGGGGUUGUUCAUGGCCUC